GGGGAAUUUUGGACAAUGGGCGCAAGCCUGAUCCAGCAAUGCCGCGUGAGUGAAGAAGGCCUUCGGGUUGUAAAGCUCUUUUGUCAGGGAAGAAAAGGCUACGGAUAAUACCUGUGGCUCAUGACGGUACCUGAAGAAUAAGCACCGGCUAACUACGUGCCAGCAGCCGCGGUAAUACGUAGGGUGCAAGCGUUAAUCGGAAUUACUGGGCGUAAAGCGUGCGCAGGCGGUUUUGUAAGACUGUCGUGAAAUCCCCGGGCUCAACCUGGGAAUGGCGAUGGUGACUGCAAGGCUAGAGUUUGGCAGAGGGGGGUAGAAUUCCACGUGUAGCAGUGAAAUGCGUAGAUAUGUGGAGGAACACCGAUGGCGAAGGCAGCCCCCUGGGUCAAAACUGACGCUCAUGCACGAAAGCGUGGGGAGCAAAC
RNAcentral lists this ribosomal RNA (425 nucleotides) under uncultured bacterium. RNAcentral's name for it is "bacterial SSU rRNA". It matches the Rfam family "Bacterial small subunit ribosomal RNA", at positions 356 to 773 of the family's 1533-position model. The record is from RNAcentral.